AAUAGAUACCCCGGUAGUCCACGCCGUAAACGAUGCACGCUAGGUGUUGGGGGUUUCGAUACCCUCGGUGCCGAAGUUAACACAGUAAGCGUGCCGCCUGGGGAGUACGCUCGCAAGAGUGAAACUCAGAGGAAUUGACGGGGACCCGCACAAGCAGUGGAGUAUGUGGUUUAAUUCGAAGCAACGCGAAGAACCUUACCAGGUCUUGACAUCUGGGUGAAAGCGUCAGAGAUGGCGCUGGCCUUCGGGACACCCAAGACAGGUGGUGCAUGGUUGUCGUCAGCUCGUGUCGUGAGAUGUUGGGUUAAGUCCCGCAACGAGCGCAACCCUUGAUCUUAGUUGCCAGCACGUAAAGGUGGGCCCUCUAAGAUGACUGCCGGUGACAAACCGGAGGAAGGUGGGGAUGACGUCAAAUCAUCAUGCCCCUUAUGACCUGGGCUACACACGUACUACAAUGGCCGGUACAACGGGGGGUCGAAAGAGCGAUCUGGAGCAAAUCCUUAUAAGCCGGUCUCAGUUCGGAUUGCAGG
This 530-nucleotide ribosomal RNA is filed under the name uncultured bacterium. Its description in RNAcentral is "bacterial SSU rRNA". It matches the Rfam family "Bacterial small subunit ribosomal RNA", at positions 777 to 1304 of the family's 1533-position model. The record is from RNAcentral.